CAGUAGCCGCGGUAAUACCAGCAGCCCAAGUGGUGGUCGCGCUUAUUGGGCCUAAAGCGCUCGUAGCCUGGCCGGUAAGUUCCCCGUGAAAUCGGGUCGCCCAACGAUUCGGCUUGCGGGGAAUACUGUCGGUCUUGGGGCCGGGAGACGCCGAGGGUACUCCGGGGGUAGCGGUGAAAUGCUGUAAUCCUCGGGGGACUACCAGUGGCGAAGGCGCUCGGCGAUAACGGGCCUGACGGUGAGGGGCGAAAGCUGGGGGCGCGAACGGGAUUAGAUACCCCAGUAGUCCCUGUCUCUUAUU
This 301-nucleotide ribosomal RNA is filed under the name uncultured bacterium. RNAcentral's name for it is "partial 16S ribosomal RNA". It matches the Rfam family "Archaeal small subunit ribosomal RNA", at positions 459 to 759 of the family's 1478-position model. The record is from RNAcentral.